AGAAAGCCCUGGAGUCCAGGCAUCCACACAGCCAUGACAUCUGAUCUAAUAUCCAAGUCACCUCAGAGCUGGGAGGAGUCUCAGAUGGUGUCAAGUUUCCAGGAUCGCCAAAGGAACUGAGAGAUUGCAAAGGUCAGUUUCAGAUGGGAAAAUCCUACGAUGAAUCUUGGAGGGAAUACCAGCUUUCACAACCGAGGCUUCCAA
This 204-nucleotide long non-coding RNA is filed under the name Homo sapiens (human). Its description in RNAcentral is "HSALNT0021564". Lineage: Eukaryota; Metazoa; Chordata; Mammalia; Primates; Hominidae. The record is from RNAcentral.